CCCCAUCCUCUUAAUUAAUUUUAAAUUACUUUUAGUUAAAUCUAUCUACUUAUUUAUAUUUUAAAAGGAGACCCUUAUCUUAUCCCAGCCUCCCGGAUCUGAUUUAUCGUUCCGUAACACCCGAGCGAGGAUCCUCACGCGAUAUUUGUUUUGGUUUAAAAAUUAAAGGAGAGUAGAAAACCGGAGGAAACCCUAUCUCUUCUCGUGUCGUGUGGUGACCUUGGCGGCAGGCUCUUGAUAUUUUGUUCCUCGUUGAAUUUUGUGACGAAAGAUCCAAGGGCAUCCUUCGAGUGCUUGAUUUUGGAUAAUCUGAUUUGGAGUCUUGGAGUUGUGAGACAUUUAGAUCAGGAGUAGAGGUCAGUGAUGGAUAGCUUAGCAGGGAUCGUUGGGCCACCGUCAAUCUUCUUAGCAUGUAAUAAGUCCCGUUGUUGUGGGC
Molecule: long non-coding RNA, 436 nt
Organism: Dioscorea cayenensis subsp. rotundata (Guinea yam)
Lineage: Eukaryota; Viridiplantae; Streptophyta; Magnoliopsida; Dioscoreales; Dioscoreaceae
Exons: 4
Source: RefSeq, a predicted model, not a curated record